RNAcentral lists this unclassified non-coding RNA (335 nucleotides) under soil metagenome. Its description in RNAcentral is "partial contains 5.8S ribosomal RNA, internal transcribed spacer 2, and large subunit ribosomal RNA". The stretch from base 5 to 121 matches the Rfam family "5.8S ribosomal RNA", at positions 38 to 154 of the family's 154-position model. The record is from RNAcentral.
GAUGGAAGAACGUAGCGAAAUGCGAUACGUAAUGUGAAUUGCAGAAUUCAGUGAAUCAUCGAAUCUUUGAACGCACAUUGCGCCUGCCAGCACUCUGGCAGGCAUGCCUGUUCGAGCGUCAUUUCAACCAUCAAGCCCUAGGCUUGCGUUGGAGCCCUGCGGCUGCCGCAGGCCCCUAAAAGCAGUGGCGGGCUCGCUAUCACACCGAGUGCAGUAGAUUACUCUUCGCUCAGGGCGUGUGGCGGGUUCCAGCCGUGAAACCCCCUACUUCUCAAGGUUGACCUCGGAUCAGGUAGGAAUACCCGCUGAACUUAAGCAUAUCAAUAAGAGGAGGA